This 487-nucleotide ribosomal RNA is filed under the name uncultured bacterium. RNAcentral's name for it is "bacterial SSU rRNA". It matches the Rfam family "Bacterial small subunit ribosomal RNA", at positions 32 to 524 of the family's 1533-position model. The record is from RNAcentral.
AAUCAACGCUGGCGGCGUGCCUCAGACAUGCAAGUCGAACGAUUAAAGCUCUCUUCGGAGAGUGUAUAGAGUGGCGCACGGGUGAGUAACACGUAAGUAAUCUACCUUCGAGUGGGGAAUAACCCGGGGAAACCCGAGCUAAUACCGCAUAAUGCAGCGGCAUCGCAAGAUGACAGUUGUUAAAGGAUUUAUUCGCUUGAAGAGGAGCUUGCGGCAGAUUAGCCUGUUGGUAAGGUAACGGCUUACCAAGGCGACGAUCUGUAACCGGUCUAAGAGGACGGUCGGUCACACUGACACUGAAUAACGGGUCAGACUCCUACGGGAGGCAGCAGUCGGGAAUUUUGGGCAAUGGGCGAAAGACCUGACCCAGCAACGCCGCGUGAAGGAUGAAGUAUUUUCGGUAUGUAAACUUCGAAAGAAAUAGGAAGAAUAAAUGACGGUACUAUUUAUAAGGUCCGGCUAACUACGUGCCAGCAGCCGCAGUAAU